CAGUAGCCGCGGUAAUACGGAGGGAGCUAGCGUUGUACGGAAUUACUGGGCGUAAAGCGCGCGUAGGCGGUUACUCAAGUCAGAGGUGAAAGCCCGGGGCUCAACCCCGGAACUGCCUUUGAAACUAGGUAACUAGAAUCUUGGAGAGGUCAGUGGAAUUCCGAGUGUAGAGGUGAAAUUCGUAGAUAUUCGGAAGAACACCAGUGGCGAAGGCGACUGACUGGACAAGUAUUGACGCUGAGGUGCGAAAGCGUGGGGAGCAAACAGGAUUAGAUACCCCGGUAGUCCCUGUCUCUUAUAC
Molecule: ribosomal RNA, 301 nt
Filed under: uncultured bacterium
Lineage: Bacteria
Description: partial 16S ribosomal RNA
Rfam family: Bacterial small subunit ribosomal RNA
Source: RNAcentral